GCCUUAAGGCAAUGGUGACUUUCCAAAUUGUGUCAGGUCCGGAAGGAAGCAGCACUAAGGUAAGCUCGUCAUGUGCCUUUUGUUAUU
This 87-nucleotide signal recognition particle RNA is filed under the name Lacticaseibacillus casei. Its description in RNAcentral is "Lactobacillus casei signal recognition particle sRNA small type". It matches the Rfam family "Bacterial small signal recognition particle RNA". Rfam says of the family: The signal recognition particle (SRP) is a universally conserved ribonucleoprotein involved in the co-translational targeting of proteins to membranes. Archaeal SRP consists of a 7S RNA and homologues of the eukaryotic SRP19 and SRP54 proteins. RNAcentral also lists the same sequence under 6 other names. The record is from RNAcentral. Lineage: Bacteria; Bacillati; Bacillota; Bacilli; Lactobacillales; Lactobacillaceae.